Molecule: long non-coding RNA, 972 nt
Organism: Mytilus californianus (California mussel)
Lineage: Eukaryota; Metazoa; Mollusca; Bivalvia; Mytilida; Mytilidae
Exons: 5
Source: RefSeq, a predicted model, not a curated record
GUUUUUAUAUACAGAAUAACAAACACAACUGUUUGUAAAAUUUGCCAAGAAAAAACUUUAACAAACAUGAUACGCCAUUUGAACAACUUUAAAAAACUGACGAGACUGUAAAAUAACCGAAAAAAAACUCACUUCAUCAGAAAGGGAACUUUUGGUGGAUAAAGUAAAACUGUAAACAGCAAACUUUAUCAGCAAGACAAGAUCUACAAAUAGAAGAAAAACAUGGGUUUGAUUGUAUUGUUGUUGUAGUGAUCCUAUGGAAAAGGAAUCUACACAGACUAUCCGGAGAAGAUAUCAAAGCUAAAGGCAAAAUGAAUAGUUGGUAUGCAGGAACAUUUUUUGCAAUUGCGAUGACCGUGUUCAUAUCACUUAUUGCCAAUGUUGUCUCGUUUGAAGCAAAGGCUCAAGGUUUUCAACCAUUCAACAUGGACCGUGCUCAGUUUCAAAAAUGGAAUGAUCGCUAUCAGAAAAGAUUCGGAUUUGGAUACCCUGCAUCGUAUGACGGAUUUAACACUGACAGUCGACAACUAAUGAGCUUAGGUCAACUUCUACAUCGUAUACCAAAAGAAAAAAGAAUGGGACGAUAUUCGGCAAACAGCCCAUUUGCAUUUGAUCCAUACAGCAAUACAUACCAAAACUGGAGAGAAGUUUUCAGCGGAAUGAAAAGAUUCAAACCAAAGGAAAACUAACUCUUUAACAUUACAAAAGUCGUGGUUGUGUAACUUUCUUUAAAUAAAUGUCAGGUUUUUAAAGUUAUUUAUCAUCAACAAAUGUAUCUAUAAAAAUUCAUUCUAAAAUGAAAUCAUAUGUUAUUCAAUAUUGUACUAGUUUCAGGAAUGUUUAGAUUUUUUAAUAUGCAUUCGAACAGCUUGUCAGUAUUAAGGACCUUAAAUAGACAACGUUUUACGAAGUAUGUGUGAUUAAAAUAUGUAAGCCUCCGAUAUUUUCUCUAAAUAAAAUUUCUCUGAUUUU